Molecule: ribosomal RNA, 492 nt
Filed under: uncultured bacterium
Lineage: Bacteria
Description: partial 16S ribosomal RNA
Rfam family: Bacterial small subunit ribosomal RNA
Source: RNAcentral
AGUGAACGCUGGCGGUAGGCCUAACACAUGCAAGUCGAACGGCAGCACAGUAAGAGCUUGCUCUUACGGGUGGCGAGUGGCGGACGGGUGAGGAAUACAUCGGAAUCUACUUUUUCGUGGGGGAUAACGUAGGGAAACUUACGCUAAUACCGCAUACGACCUACGGGUGAAAGCAGGGGAUCUUCGGACCUUGCGCGAUUGAAUGAGCCGAUGUCGGAUUAGCUAGUUGGCGGGGUAAAGGCCCACCAAGGCGACGAUCCGUAGCUGGUCUGAGAGGAUGAUCAGCCACACUGGAGCUGAGACACGGUCCGGACUCCUACGGGAGGCAGCAGUGGGGAAUAUGGGACAAGGGGCGCAAGCCUGAUCCAGCCAUACCGCGUGGGUGAAGAAGGCCUUCGGGUUGUAAAGCCCUUUUGUGGUGAAAGAAAAGCAGCAGGUUAAUACCCCGCUGUUCUGACGGUACCCAAAGAAUAAGCACCGGCUAACUUCGUG